UAGUUCCUGAUGUCACACUGCCAAGAAAAGCUUCUAGUGAGAAAGUAACUGCCCGUACCGCAAACCGACACAGGUAGUUGAGGAGAGAAUCCUAAGGUGUGCGAGAGAACUCUCGUUAAGGAACUCGGCAAAAUGACCCCGUAACUUCGGGAGAAGGGGUGCAGACCGCAAGGUCAGCCGCAGUGAAUAGGCCCAAGCGACUGUUUAUCAAAAACACAGGUCUCUGCAAAAUCGAAAGAUGACGUAUAGGGGCUGACGCCUGCCCGGUGCUGGAAGGUUAAGAGGAGAGGUUAGCGCAAGCGAAGCUUUGAAUUGAAGCCCCAGUAAACGGCGGCCGUAACAAUAACGGUCCUAAGGUAGCGAAAUUCCUUGUCGGGUAAGUUCCGACCCGCACGAAAGGCGUAACGAUUUGGGCACUGUCUCAACGAGAGACUCGGUGAAAUUAUAGUACCAGUGAAGAUGCUGGUUACCCGCGACAGGACGAAAAGACCCCAUGGAGCUUUACUGCAGUUUGAUAUUGCGUGUUUGUAUCACAUGUACAGGAUAGGUAGGAGCCGAAGAUACCGGGACGCCAGUCUCGGAGGAGGCAACGGUGGGAUACUACCCUUGUGAUAUGACCACUCUAACCCGCUGCUCUUAGCGAGCAGGGAGACAGUGUCAGACGGGCAGUUUGACUGGGGCGGUCGCCUCCAAAAAUGUAACGGAGGCGCCCAAAGGUUCCCUCAGAAUGGUUGGAAAUCAUUCGUAGAGUGUAAAGGCAGAAGGGAGCUUGACUGCGAGACCUACAAGUCGAGCAGGGACGAAAGUCGGGCUUAGUGAUCCGGUGGUUCCGCAUGGAAGGGCCAUCGCUCAACGGAUAAAAGCUACCCUGGGGAUAACAGGCUUAUCUCCCCCAAGAGUUCACAUCGACGGGGAGGUUUGGCACCUCGAUGUCGGCUCAUCGCAUCCUGGGGCUGUAGUCGGUCCCAAGGGUUGGGCUGUUCGCCCAUUAAAGCGGUACGCGAGCUGGGUUCAGAACGUCGUGAGACAGUUCGGUCCCUAUCCGUCGCGGGCGUUGGAAAUUUGAGAGGAGCUGUCCUUAGUACGAGAGGACCGGGAUGGACACACCGCUGGUGUACCAGUUGUUCUGCCAAGAGCAUCGCUGGGUAGCUAUGUGUGGACGGGAUAAACGCUGAAAGCAUCUAAGCGUGAAGCCCCCCUCAAGAUGAGAUUUCCCAUCACUUUAAGUGAGUAAGACCCCUGAGAGAUGAUCAGGUAGAUAGGUUGGGAGUGGAAGUACAGCGAUGUAUGGAGCGGACCAAUACUAAUCGGUCGAGGACUUAAUC
Molecule: ribosomal RNA, 1325 nt
Filed under: metagenome
Description: bacterial LSU rRNA
Rfam family: Bacterial large subunit ribosomal RNA
Source: RNAcentral